AAAGUGCGUCCUAUGGAGCGAAAAAUACGGUAAUAAUAAUUAACAACAAUAAAUAAAUAAACAAGGAAUUGUCCCUAUUGCCUAGGGGCAGUCCCAGAUUUAUUUGUUCCAGUUGUGGCAGAAGAUGAUAAUAAAUUUAAAAGUUUCCACCACGUGUGGUGAGUUAUCCUGGACAUCCUUAAAUUUUUAAUGUUUCUCCUUUUCUUCUUCUUGGGCUCUGAUUCCGCCCCCCCCCGGUGAUUUGUUGGUAUGUGAUGAGUCCCAGAUUUACGUAACCUCCAGCAUGAAAAUAGGGAUGUCCUAUUCCAUCAUCAUCAUCACCAUACAUUUAUUAUUUAUAUCCCUGCCCAUCUGGCUUGGUUGCCCCAGCCACCCUGGGUGGCUCACAACAUACCGUACAUAAAAGCAUAAUAAAACAUUUAAAGAACUUCCCAAUAUAGGGCUGCCUUCCUGUCUUCUAAAGGUUUUAUAGGUUACUUAACUGCUUGGCUUGGGGGGUCACAUAACUCCAUACCCUCCAACAGUUCACCAAUGAAAAUAGGGACAUCUGAUGGAAAAGUGGGGCAUUCUGGGAUCAAAUCAGAAACCGGUAUGUCUUCUGUAAAUCUGGUACUGUUUCUGGGUAAUAGGGACACUUGGAGGGUCUGUAAUAAUGACAAUGGUGCCCACCUGAUGCCCACUUGAGAUGUGCUAGAACUGAGUUCCCAUGAGUUCCAGCUUGGAAAAAAAGUCUUGCUACCUACAUAGAAAACUGUAACUGAGGGUGUAAUCGUUGUAAGUAAAUGCAAUUCUUUCCAGCAAGCCUUUAAGCAGGCCCAAGUGUGUGAGAGCUGUAACCAGGCCCACAGAGCCACUUGCUUCCCUGACCCAAACAUGCCUUUAGGGCAGUGCGAGGGGGCGCAGAAUAAUAAUAAUUAAUAAAAACAGAAUUGUCGCGAAAACAAUAAAGCGGUGGGUUUUGUCCUCGCUCAGGGCACCUGCCAUGCGUCCCUCACACUGAAACACCUGUGUCAGACCUGCCUAGAGGUACCUCAUCCAAAACUGUUUUUGUAGCCAUUUCUUUAAAAGUUUGGUACAGCCAAAAUGGGAUGAAAAUGUUUAAACAGGUAUGAUUAAAGGAGGGGGCAGAAUUAUAAGAUCCAAUUUUGCCUGCAAAAGGUCCCCUUGCAAAACAUGUCCAUAGACCAAGGAGCGGGGAUUGGCAUGUCCACAGUAUGUAUGCAUGCACAGUACAAACAUUCAUUAGCUUGUUUGCAAUGUGUGAAACAAUUCAUAGAAUCAUAUGUAGAGUUGGAAGGGACCCAAGGGUCAUCUAGUCCGACCCCCUGCAAGGCAGGAAUCUCAGCUAAAGCUUCCAUGACAGAUAGCCAUCCAACCUCUGCUUAAAAACCUCAAAGGAAGGAGGCCCAAGACCCCAGGGGGAGAAAUCCUAGCCAGAAGUCCAUCAAAAACAAGUGGCCAUUGUGGUAUCAAGCUGUUUGUUCAAUGACAUAUCUUACGAUCCUUUUUUCUUAUUUAUUUUUUAACAGUGUCGGAAGACUCAUGCAUUCCCUUCCCACUUGGAACCGAAUCCAUGGUUGCAUUUGGCUUCUGAAAUCUAUGCAGACUGAGCCAACACUUUUUUUUUACAAAAAAAAAGUGGUCUGAAAGACUAGAAACUUGCUUUAAUAAAAUUAAUCUGCUAAACAUGACACUUCAUGAGCCUGGUAUUGCACAACAAACCCAGCAGGUUAUGGAAUGCAUACAGCUUCAAGCAUGACAGGCCAUAAAGGUAAAUAUUUAGGAAAGCCUAUUUCUGUAUGUUCCAGAUAAAUUGUGAAUCAAGUCAAAAAGUGCCUAGGAUGCUUAUCACACAGUGGGAACCCUUGGAUGAAAGCUGUCAGUGGUAUCUGACAAGCUAAGCUGUCUUCCUCCUGACAAAGUUGAUGUUCUAUUUACCUCAGUAAAAAGAUGGAGUUAAUUCUGAAUGCCUGCCUGGUCUCUCUUCAGCUUUCUGUUGAGAAGAGGGGAGUAGAAUAAGAAAAAAGAAAAUAUGCAUAUAUUAGGAACUGGAGCAAUGCAGACAUUGUGGGGCCAACAAUUAAUUGCAAUGGACAAUCUCCCAUUCUGCCCUUUCUCUACUUGUUCUCCAGUGCCUAAAACAAAUCUAUAGGACAGUUAGAAAGGGCAAGAUGAGUAACUGAAACUUAAUGAUAAUGCUAGUGUUUAUAGGUAUACAACAACCCACUGUCAAGAUUAGUCUGUGGAAACAGACUCUUGCAUAAAGGUUCUUUGCAAAUCUGGGAAAGUAAAUGAGGUAAUGAUUAAAAGAAAUGAUUGGGGGAGGCAGGGGGAUAAGGGGAAAAGCAAAAAGGAGAUGCAAGCAGGAAUGUAUUAAUGCAAAUUAACCUAUUAUAUUUUGUAAGUCUAAGAGAGAACAUCUUGUCCAAUUUCAGUUUUGUUUUGUCUUUCUUCCCUGAUUUGGUCAAUAAUAGGUUUGCAAUUAUGACGGGGAAUGUCCCAGUUGAUUACUUUGGCUUCUUCUAUAUUUUCACUUUUAGAAAUUAAAUAGAUUGGCAUUAUAAUGUCAUUCAGGUAUUACUAAUGAUAUUCAUACUAAUACCAGUAAUUAGUAUGCCACACAUACUAAUACAGAUAAUUAACAAAAUGCAGCUUUUGUGAUAAAAGUCCAGUUGCCUGGAUUCUCUUUUUAGCUUUGUAUUUUCCAAUAACUUAGGAGAUCUCAUAAGCAUAUUUCAUCUCUCCCAUCCCCCAAAAAGAGAAUUUUAUUGGAGUUUGAGCUUGGUGAUUUGCUUUGACAAAUAAUGGAAAGGGGAAACACCCUUUUAUGAGUUACAACAUACAUACAUAAAAAUACAUGCAUACAAUCAAAUCCAGCCUGAAAAUUGCUCAGAAACCAAGAGUUAGAGCUGUUCUGUGUUUCCAAUAUGUUUUCUGUCUCCUGUUUGGCUGUCCUGAGUAAUUGUCACAUACAGCUGUCAUACAAAGAGCAGUGUUGUUAACUGGGCAGGUUCCCAGUCACUUCCUAUUUGCAAUGCUCUGAUGCUUACAUUGCUAUGCACUCUUGUCACAGUAUUUCUUCUGUCAUUGCAUCUCCAUAGAUAAGCCUUUUGUAAUAAUGACUUAAGGGCUAUUUGUCUCUUUCCAAGGCUCAGGCCUAGUGAUCCUGUUAAACCAUUGAGAAGAGUAUUGCAAUAUUAACAAAGCAAAGUAUGACAUAUUUGAAUUGGCCGAUUUCCCCGUUCCAUGCAUUUUUAAAACAAGACAUCUUUCCCACUUCUGCCAGCAACUCUGUCAGUCCAUUUUAAGGCACGUUGAGUCAACGGCGAAUUGUUUUGUCAUUUUAUAUGGAUGUCCACCCCACGCCAAAGACUCAGAUAGGGAACAAAGGAAAACAAUGAAGUUCCAUCACAUUCACUGAAAAUUCACCAGCCCGCACAAGUAGGUCUUGUAAGACUUCCCAACGGUGCUUAAGCCUGUAUUUCGGCAGGUCUGUAGCGGGACGGCCUUGUUGUCUGAACCUGAUGCACACCAAUGUAUUGGUACAGAAUGCUCCGAACAAAAAGACCCCUUGAUUUGCAAGUUAAUCGAGUGGGAACUGAGCAUUUUGGAAAAGGCAAAGUAAGGUUGGGAAAUCCUCUAAGAAGAGGGGUUGGUUUAAUAAACUAUAUCACCCUCAGCAUAACCAAGCACUGUGUCCAGUGUUGGCAUUAUUAUGCAGCCUGGAUGAUGCUACAUCUAAGUUGUUACCUCCUGCAAGCAUCCUCUAGUCACAGCGGUUCUCAACCUGUGGGUCCCCAGAUGUUGUUGGACUACAACUCCCAUCAUCCCUGAGCUCUGGCCUUGCUAGCUAGGGGUGAUGGGAGUUGUAGUUCAACAACAUCUGUGGACCCACAGGUUGAGAAAGGCUGCUAGUGCUUCCACACUUCUUGGAAAGAACUUGUCUGCCUUGAACAUGUAUGUGUGGAGCAGAAUAGGAGUAUUCUGAGCAUCAGGUAGAGUUGGGGUGAAUACAGAGAUGUGAGGACUGGGGAAAGCUACUUUCCCUCCUGUUCCCUGACCCAACAACAUUCUAGAAUUAAUAAAGAACUAAUGGACAUACCAAGAAAUCUGGGUCACCUGCGUCUCCACUAUACAUUCUUGAGAAAAGGAGCAAUAAGAGGACACUAGAGAAAAGAAAAAUAAAGACAGCUAUUAUUGCCUGUUGAGUAGUUUUAGACUUUGUAUUUAAGGGGUCACCCUCUUUAGAUGGUGUGUAUGACUCCACUUCCUUCAAAAUGUGCUACGCCACCCUUGCAGCGUUUAGUAACUCCUCAUUCUGCUGAGCUGGGAUCUGGACUUCUGCCCGAAAGCUCUACUCAAAUGGUACCACAGGUUUCCAAGGGAUUCCUCUGUUGCCUGCUGUCCCAUGCUCCUUCCCCAGAAUAAGGCUUUUGUGGCUGGGGAAGGACACUAGCAGGAAAUGGGAAGCACUGGCCAAGGAGCGUGUUGUAAAUGUUCAUACUGAACAAUUUUACUGCCUUAUGGUUGCUUUGAAGAAGGCAUGGUGAACCGAGCCUCUGCUACCUCUCCCCCCAAUGGGCUAUUGGCAGAUUCCAAGACCACGGCUACUGUUUUCUUCAUGUACCCCUCUUGCUUCUGGGAUGGCAACUGUGGGGCAGAGCUGUCUCUCUCAAGGGCCACUGGUGACUGAUCAUUGUUUGGAGUGUGGAAUAAUUCCUUCUGGAAACGUUUCAGAGUCUGUUCUGAAGGCUGGUUUGGGAAACCUGUGAACUUAACCUGGUUCACACUUUCUGAAACAAUACAUGAGAUACAGCCAAGUAAUGUAUGCAAAACAUUUCUGCUCAGCAGAAAUUCCUAUGAUGCUCUUCACACGUCUUCAGCACCCACAUCCAGUUAGAAGCACAGGAAUUCCUUGUGAGUUAAUAGCCUUGUAUUUUCAAUAUCUUUGUGAGCGGCAAAUUGUUUGGCAAGCUAAUCCCCAGGAGGCAGUGGUCCACACAGAGCAAAGCAUUAAGGUCCUUCUCACUGGUAGAUGCCCUGGCUUGAUAUAGGCAGUGCCAUUAUUGGAGAAAGUGACUUUCUCUUUAAGGAGGUCACUUCCCAGCAAAAUAGUCUCUUACCUUUUCUGGCAUCCUUUGGCCAGGUUUGGCCCUCUGGAGACACUUUUAUCUGUUUUUGGGUGGACUGACUAGGUUUCAAUAAAGAUGUAGUUAGAAGCCUCUUCUAGCCUCCAAAUCGCCUUCUGGAGAAUAGGCUGGUCCCUGGGAAUAUUAUCUUUGCUGUUAUAUCUGUUAGUAAAAUAGUUUCAGUAAACCGCUUAGAAGUUUUACUCUUUAAGCAGCAUACGAAUUAUGUCAAAUAACAAUGUAUUGUUUUAGUAAAAAUAAUAUAAAUAUUCAGAUCAUGCUUUGAAAUAUACCCACAAAUGUUCUUAUUACCAGGACUCAUAUAUGUGUACCUUAUUUCCUGGUGAUAAUAUAUGUUCUAUAUGAAACGUUUCUCGUAAUCUCUUUAAGAUUACAGCAGAUGUGUCACUUUACUUUCUAACCGAGGUGCACAGAGAAUGAAGCUAAGGAGGACUGGCAAGUCUGUUCUUGUGGCCCCUUUGAUCCUUUUUUCUCCUAGAAAAAAUCUUGGGAAAAACCAAGCGCUAAGAAGAAUCACAGCGAAAAUGUCCCAUUCCUCUCUCUAAUUGUAAAAUGCAUGUAUAUAUUAAUUAGAGCAAGAAGAAUGAAACUUGCCAAAGGCUGAUGCAGAUUUCAGCACCUUUGGUAAUUUAUCACUGAACUCCACUGGAUGGUUUUAGUCCCUGUGUGCUGUGUUUUUUAAAACCCUGUCUGGGGGAACAGGGGCAAAUGCAUUUUAUUUUCAUUUCCUCUUAAAUCUCCUCCCGUCAUUUCACGGUGGGAAUAUGGGUGUGGAUCUCUCCAUCUGACCACUUGUCAAACAUUUCAGACGCCUGUGUCGCUAAUUUGAACCACCAGCAGGUUAAGGGAAACAAAAAAGAACAAAGUGUGCUGUGUACCAGCGAUAAAACUCUCUAGACCAGCAGCAUGUUUGUCAAAAAAAAAAGUUCGGCUGUUUCUCAAGCUCCUUGCAAUGCGAGGGCUACUUUCUCUCUCCAUCCUGCGUCAUCAUAGAAAUAAGGAAAAGUUUGCUUUUCUCCUCAAAUGUUGGUUUUUGUUUUGUUUUGUUUGCAGCUGAUAAAGAGCUGUUCUAAUUCUUCUUGCCAUCGCUUUUCCUUUACAAAGAUAAGCAUACGAUGGGUUUCUAACCCACAAAUAGCCUGGACAAAAAGGCAGUCUUAUGAUAAUGAAAGUCUAAUUCAUUCCUGACCCUUUUAGCAUGAGUUGAGGUGGUUGUAUAGAAGCCCCACCGUGAGAAAUUUUGCUAGGGCGAAUGAAUCUUUUUUUGCAUCUGAAAUUCUGCCCAUGCUUUUUCGAAUGCCAGUGGAGGAAUAUCAAGUUGCCCUGAAAUUUCACUUCAAGUGAAACUGGAAGGAAAACGGUAUUGUCAAAAAUGAAUGCAAAUUGGUAUUUAAGGUUCUGCUGUAGUAAAACAAAGACACAUCAAUCCCUGGCAGAAAUGGAUGAGUAAUUGUCUGCUGAUUUGGGCAGCUGGGUCAAGAAUUAUAGACCAAGCAAGACAUUGCCACUUCUUGGGCCAACUGCUCUUUCAUGUUAGUGCAGGCAAACUUUGGGGUUAUGCAGAGCUCUUCCUCUUCAUUGCUUUCUCCAGCUCUUCUUGGGAAUCCAGGUAGUACAAUGGCUAAGAACGAGAGCUGUUACUGAGCCUAAAAGCCUUCCAUUCAAAUCUUACUUCAGCCACAAACAUCUUUCUGCAUCAGUCCCACGGCUGCAAUACUUAGACACUGGCCUACCUUAUCAGGUUGUUCUAAGACAGGGCUCCUCAACCUUUUUGGGCCCGGAAACAUUUGCAAAUUUCUUUUAAUUAACAGAAUUUGUGCACCUCUAAGCCUCUAAACGGUUAACAAAAGAAUUUAAAAAUAGAUUAAAAUAGUCAAAAACCGACACUAAAAAUAGGUUUAUAAAAAGGCAAAAGAAUAAAAUCAAAAGUAUACGUGAUAAGCUAAAAUUACAGAUUAAAGUAUACAUCAACUUUACAUGUCAGGUUAAACUUUUGUGGGCACUGCAAAAUACCCAUUUCACAUAAGAAAAACUGCUGAUGCUCAAGACUCCUCCCCCUACAAACAGGCAAAACACCGACACACCCCAAAACUAAUAAAACAGACCAAAGAAAGUCAACCCAGCUGCCAAACAAUCCCUGCAAAGCUGUUAUUCAUUCAUUUUAAAGAUAAAAUAUGGUAGAGGCAGGGUGCCUGAGGGUGCCACAUUGGUGACUGCAGGAGUAAGGGAAUAAUGAUACAAAUCAAGUUAAGCACCUUUCAAUUUCAUUGAUUUCAGCUAAAAAAAGUAAGCGCAUGCUGUAUCACAUAUAAAUAAAUAUAUUUUAUUUAUAUCCUGCCCUCCCCAGCUGAAGCUGGGCUCAGAGCAGCUAACAACAGUAAAAAUAACUCAGUUUACAUAAAAUCACAAUCAAUUAAUUGAAAUACAUUCUAAAACCAAUUCAUUCCAAAAUCAAUUCAGAGUCAAAUUAAUGGCAUACAUGCUUUUGGCCUGAUCAUAUCCACAUAUUAUACGUAGCAUUUAAGAACUAUGUAAAUGCUAAGUAUUAUUCCGCAUUUGGCUUAAAUAGCAAAAAUAAAAGCUCUGCCAACUGAUGAACCUAAGAGUCGGCCCCAUUGAACACAGCAGGAUUUAACUCUGAAACAAACGUAGAUAGGAUUCUGCUGCGUAUGUUGCAGGGCUGCAUUUGCUGCGUUUUAGGAGGUUGUUUGAAACUUUGAAACUCCUGCGUUAAAAUUUGUGCAGGCCCCAACAAUCGCCUUCAUUACUACAGUGCUAAAGUGGCUUGGACUGAUCUGUUGAUUAUUAUCAAUGAUGACAGAAAGGUCUGCUGCAAAGUUGCUAAGAAUUGCAGUUUUGGUGUGACACUCUCGGUGAGUUUAAGGCAUUGUGGUGCAUCCAUAUAUCCACGGUGAGGAAUGGGGCUGACCUCACUGGUGACAAUGGCAUCCCAUACACAAACCAUAUGAAAUCAAGAAGUCGCCUGAUAAGUGGGCAGGUAUUUGUGGAUCCAAUGUUAGGCUAGCCAUUGGAAUGUCUUCAUGGGCUAGACUAAAAGCCUUUAAGCCACAAAGCAGCCACAGUGAUUCUAAUGACUGCCCUCAUGAAUGGGGCGAGAAUAGGCUUUAGACUCCCAGCUCAGGACACAGGCUCAUUUGACUGCCAAAAAAACAGCUGGGGAGGCUUAGGCACUCCCAGCAAAAGAAGCUGGCCGGGUGCGAGCUAACCAAUGAGCCUGUUCUUCUCUGCAGCUCUGAAAGCAUGGGGCAGCCAAUUCAAACCCCAGUCACUUUUCCAAUAAUAAAUUGCUUGUUACAAAAGUUGGGUGCCUUCCCCAAUCUCUGCAAGAUUCCUGGGGGUUCCAGGCACUCACCCCGGACUUGUGUUACUUUGGAGAAUUGAGGCACAGCAGAGACUGUUGUAGCUUUAAGAAAGAUGGUUUAUUCCCCUAUUUACACCUUCAGUUUGCAUGGAAGGAGUCCAAAUCUUACAGCAUGGCUCUUUCAAGAGCGCCUUGUACCCCCACAGCAGUGCAGCCAGCCUUCAGCUAGCCUGCCCAAGAUGAUGGCAAUGGUGAUUAUAUUUAUACCCCACCCAUCUGGCUGCGUUUCCCCAGCCACUCCAGGUGGAUCCCAGCAGAAUAGUAAAGACAGGAUUGUUAUGUUGAGAGUGAACAUAUCAGACGACAGAGUGGUUCUUCAAACAGCUCUUCUUUACUCACAGGCCAGAACAGAACUGAACUGAAGGGUUCAGCCAGCCUGCUUAUAUAGAGCUCCACUACAACACAACUGUAACAACUUUCUGUAACUAUCCAAUCACUGAAUGUCACUUUCAAUCCCUUAUUUGCAUAUGUGGACAUCUACAGUAUCCCCCUGCUGGCCCAGGGUGAGAACUUCAGUACAUAACAAGGAUAAAACAUCAAACACUAAAAACUUCCCUAAACAGAUGUCUUCUAAAAGUCAGAUAGUUGUUUAUUUCCUUGACAUCUGAAGGGAGGGCAUUCCACAUGGCGGGUGCCACUACCGAGAAGGCCCUCUGCCUGGUUCCCUGUAGCUUCACUUCUUGCAGUGAGGGAACCGCCAGAAACCCUCAGAGGAGGACCUCAAUGUCCGGGCUGAGCGAUGGGGGUGGAGAUGCUCCUUUAGAUAUACUGGUCCGAGGCCGUUUAGGGCGUUCAGCACCAACACUUUGAAUUGUGCUCGGAAACGUACUGGGAGCCAAUGAAUAUCCAUUAGGUCUAGGACAUGUUAAAUCAGAGGUCAGCAAACUUUUUUAGAAGAGGGCCAGUCCACUGUCUCUCAGACCUUGUGGGGGGCCGGAUUAUAUUGGGGGGGGGGGAUGAACGAAUUCCUAUGCCCCACAAAUAACCCAGAGAUGCAUUUUAAAUAAAAGGACACAUUCUACUCAUGUAAAAACACACUGAUUCCUGAACCGUCCGUGGGCCAGAUUUAGAAGGCGACAGGGCCGGAUCCGGUCCCCAGACCUUAGUUUGCCUACCCAUGUGUUAAAUGGUCCCGGCAGUCACUCCCUUUCACCAAUCUAGCUGCCGCAUUCUGGAUUAGUUGUAGUUUCCGCGUCACCUUCAAAGGUAGCCCCACGUAGGGCACUUCUCCUCUUCCCCAAACCCCUUGCUACCAGACUCCCUUUUCCUGUCACCUCACAACCCCCCAAUCUUCCAAACCCCCCUGCCUCUGUUCACACCUCAAGGCAGAGGGCAAAGGACAGUUCUCUUGCAUUGCCAGCGGCUCUCAAUGGUCUUGUAUUGUUUCUUAACGGCCCUGGCUUGGCAAGGUCAUUUUGCAUAAGCUAGCCCAGGGAAUCCUACAGCUUGUAUCUCUCCCUUCACAUCCCAAAUGAUCAAAAUCCUACCAGUUAUUAAUUUCUAGGGGUUUGGGGGUGUAUCCCACAAAUCUAUAACAAGACUUACUGAAACGAAGUGACUAGUUCCCAAGACAUAAAGGUAAAGGGCGCCCUGACCAUUAGGUCCUGUCAUGACCGACUCUGGGGUUGUGGCGCUCAUCGUGCUUUAUUGGCUGACAGAGCCGGCGUACAGCUUCCAGGCCAUGUGGUCAGCAUGACAAAGCCGCUUCUGGCAAACCAGAGCAGCGCACGGAAACGCCUUUACCUUCCCACCGGAGCGGUACCUAUUUAUCUACUUGCAGUUUGACGUGCUUUCAAACUGCUAGGUUGGCAGGAGCAGGGACCGAGCAAUGGGAGCUCACCCUGUCGCAGGGAUUCGAACUGCCGACCUUCUGAUCGGCAAGUCCUAGGCUCUGUGGUUUAACCCACAGCGCCACCCGCAUCCCUAGUUCCUGCGAUAUACAGAGGGACAAAACUGCUUGUUUGAAAAGUGUCUUAACCUAAUGAGCUGAUCGUGCCUUUGGUUAAACUCACUUGCAUGGAGUGUGUGUCUGUGUGUGCUUGUGACACUAUGCAGUGGGAAGCCAUCCUUUUCUGCUAUGUGCAUGACCAUGGGUAUAGCUGGGGAGGGGCAACUGCCCCCCCCCUAAAGUAAAACAAUAGAAAUACUUAACUAACUGACCAAUCACAUCGGUUCUGCCCCCUCUAACAAAAGUCCUGCACCCCCCCCCAACAAAAAUCCUGGCUAUACCCAUGUGCCAUGAAGAUCAUGGCCACUGGUCCCAUCACCUCCUGGCAAAUAGAAGGGGAAGAAAUGGAGGCAGUGAGAGAUUUUACUUUCUUGGGCUCCAUGAUCACUGCAGAUGGUGACAGCAGUCACGAAAUUAAAAGACACCUGCUCCUUGGGAGAAAGGCGAUGGCAAACCUAGACAGCAUCUUAAAAAGCAGAGACAUCACCUUGCCAACAAAGGUCCGUAGAGUUAAAGCUAUGGUUUUCCCAGUAGUGAUGUAUGGAAGUGAGAGCUGGACCAUCAAGAAGGCUGAUCGCCGAAGAAUUGAUGCUUUUGAAUUAUGGUGCUGGAGGAGACUCUUGAGAGUCCCAUGGACUGCAAUAAGAUCAAACGUAUCCAUUCUUAAGGAAAUCAGCCCUGAGUGCUCACUGGAAGGACAGAUCGUGAAGUUGAGGCUCCAAUACUUUGGCCACCUCAUGAGAAGAGAAGACUCCGUGGAAAAGACCCUGAUGUUGGGAAAGAUGGAGGGCACAAGGAGAAGGGGACGACAGAGGACGAGAUGGUUGGACAGGGUUCUUGAAGCGACAAACAUGAGUCUGACCAAGCUGCGGGAGGCACUGGAAGACAGGAGUGCCUGGCAUGCUCUGGUCCAUGGGGUCACGAAGAGUCGGACACGACUAAACGACUAAACAAGAACAACAACAUACCCAUGUGCAUGACCCAUGGCAAGCCUUAACCUCACCCACUCCCUUCUCCUAGGUGACACUGGAUGGCUGAUCUGAUUCUAAUGGACGUUAUGCACACACCCAGAUCUGCUUCCUUCCUUCUUUUGGGGGGAUAGUUUAUCAUAAAAGAGGCCACCAAGCUCUUCCUCUGCACCAGCCAUGAGCAAGCUUUUAGUUUACACCUUCCCUGACCCCCUCUUCCUUUACUAUGUGACUGAGAAAGAAACUGGAGGCACACACUUCUUUUUAAAAAUAAUAAUGCUUUAUUAUUCAUUUUCCAUAUAUAUACACAACACGUAGUCAUCUUCAUUUUGAUCAAUCCAGUAAUAAUAUCACAAGAGACACAUACAGUUUCAACUAUGUGCUUUCUACAUGAAUCUAUGACUUCCCACCGUCUCCAUGUUUCCUUUAUAUUAAACAUCUUGCUUUACUUAGUUUUACUUAUAGUUUAAAGUCAGUCGCCGCCAUGGGUGUAGCCAGGUGUUUUAGGGGGGCAGAAUAUUAGUUAACAAUGUAUUUUUAUUGAUGAUUGGGGGGAGCAGCUGCUACACACUACCCGCUACACACACGAUCACCGCUUCUUGUUAUAGUUUAAAAUCUAGCACAGUCGUACCUUGCAAGUCGAAUGGAAUCCGUUCCGGAAGUCCGUUCGACUUCCAAAACGUUCAGAAACAAAAGCAUGGCUUCUGAUUGGCUGUAGGAAGCUCCUGCAGCCAUUCGGAAGCCCCAUUGGACAUUCGGCUUCCAAAAAUAGUUCAUAAAUUAGAACAGUCACUUCCAGAUUUGCCAUGUUUGGGAGCCAAAAUGUUUGAGAACUAACCAGUUCGAAAACCAAGGUACAGCUGUAGUUCGAACUAGCCAGGAUCAGAUUGUGCUUUAGAAAGUUGGCUUGGUUAUGACUAAGAGUUUCAGCGAACCGAUGGUCCCCGAGUUGUUGUUUUUCUUCCAUUAGGGAGCUCUUUAAAUGCAACAGGAUUCUAGUUUAGAAGUAAGGAAGCUAGUAAAAGUAAUUGGAUAUUGCCAUCCAGUGCUCAGUUUGUGUCAUUGCAACUAAUGCUUAAUAAAAGAUUGGUAAGGUGAUUUCCAUACCACAAUGGUGCCUCUGAGGGCUCAGCCGCACUCCUGCUUUCCCAGUGCCUAGAAAGCACAAUUCCAAGUGGUUUUUUGUUCAUCCGGUGCUUUCUAGGCACAGAUGUGAGCAGUUUGCCCCUCCGCUUUCCCCUGGAAAACCCACCCUUUAGCUAUAAACUGGAGCAAACAUCAGUGUGGAGAAAAUAUUAUUGAUGUUUGCGCUGAUUCUGCAGUAAACAGCGGGUUUUCAGGGGGGGUAUAGGGCAAGCAGAAGCAUGGAUGAACCUAGUCAAUGCCAAAUUUGGGUUCUGUGCAGCACAUAAUUUAUUUCCCUAAAGCAUUUUUCCAGCUAAUUGUAUUACAUAAAACUCAUAAAAGCAAGAGAGUCCAUAAAGGUAAAGGGACCCCGACCAUUAGGUCCAGUCAUGACCGACUCUAGGGUUGCGGCGCUCAUCUCGCUUUACUGGCCAGGUACAGCUUCCAGGUCAUGUGGCCAGCAUGACUAAGCUGCUCCGGCGAACCAGAGCAGCGCACGGAAACGCCGUUUACCUUCCCGCUGGAGCGGUACCUAUUUAUCUACUUGCACUUUGACGUGCUUUCAAACUGCUAGGUUGGCAGGAGCAGGGACCGAGCAACGGGAGCUCAUCCCGUCACGGGGAUUCGAACCGCCAACCUUCUGAUUGGCAAGUCCUAGGCUCUGUGGUCCUAGGCUCAAGAGAGUUCUUACCUAUAGGCUUAUAACCUAAAGGAUGUGGCAGAAAAGGAAGAAGGUGUGAGGAUAGAGGAGGAAAAGGAGGAAACACAGGCAGCAUAUUAAAAAGUGAUAUAGUAUUUCUUAUAAUGGCCGGUGGGAAUGGAGAGUGUUUAGGGAGAGGAGGAACCAAAUACAGCGGUACCUCAGGUUAAGUACUUAAUUCGUUCCAGAGGUCCGUACUUAACCUGAAACUGUUCUUAACCUGAAGCACCACUUUAGCUAAUGGGGCCUCCUGCUGCUGCUGCACCGCCGGAGCACGAUUCCUGUUCUCAUCCUGAAGCAAAGUUCUUAACCUGAGGUAAUAUUUCUGGGUUAGCGGAGUCUGUAACCUGAAGCAUAUGUAACCCAAGGUACCACUGUACAGGUGAUCUCUGAGCUGAGCAGAUGGAAGUAAAUGUGCCCCUAAAGGACCAGGUGUGCAGCCUGGGAGUCAUUUUGGACUCAUGGCUGUCCAUGGCGGCACAGGUGAAUUCUGUAUCCAGGGUACAACAGCUGAAUCCCUGCUUGACUGCACUCUGUCUCACCAGAGUGGUACAUGAUGUGGUUAUCUCUUGUUUGAACUACUGAAAUGUGUUCUAUGUGAAGCUACCUUUGAAGGUGACUCAGAAACUACAACUAAUCCAGAACGCAGACUGAUGACUGGGAGUGGCUGCCAGGACACUCGUCCUAAAGGAUCUACACUGGCUCCCAGUACAUUUCCAAGCACAAUUCAAAGUGUUUGUGCUGACCUUUAAAACCUUAAAUGACCUUGGCCCUGUAUACUCCAUCCCCAUCAUCCCACACUGAGGUCCAGGUUUGAGGGUCUUCUGGCGGUUCCCUCACUGAGAAGUGAGGUUACAGGGAACCAGGCAGAGGGCCUUCUCAAUAGUUCCCUGUGGAAUGCCCUCCCGUCAGAUGUCAAGAAAAUAAACAACUACCUGACUUCUGUUUUAACUGUGUAUUGAUAAAAUGUACUUUUUUUCUGACUGACGGUCGAAUAAAAAUGAUGAUGAACUACCUGACUUUUAGAAGACAUCUGAAGGCACCCCUGUACAGGGAGGUUUUUAAUGGUGUUUUAAUAGUGAGGUUUUUUUGUGUUUUAAUAUUUUGUUGGAAGCCGUCCUGAGCGGCUGGGGCAACCCAGGCAGAUGGGUAGCAUAUAAAUAAUAAAAUCAGUGGUAUUUUUCUAGAAAAAGAGGUGCUGGAACACACCACGAACGCCUCCCUCAUUCUCUUAGAAUUGCAGUGGUAUCCACCUGAGAGGUACCAGAACUAAGUUCCACUGAGAUACAGCUGAAAAAAGCCCUGAAAAUAAAAUAAUAAUAAUAAUAAUAAUUAGUAAUAAUGAUGAUGUCCCUGAUCUAGUUAGUACAUCUGUUUUUAAUGUGAAGCUAUCAUCCAUCAUCCAUCCAUUGACAUCCUGGGCAUCAGUGAACUAAAAUGGACGGGAAUGGGCGAAUUCAGUUUGGAUGACUAUCAUAUCUACUACUGUGGGCAAGAAACCCGUAAAAGAAAUGGAGUGGCCCUCAUAGUCAACAAAAGAGUGGUGAAAGCUGUACUGGGAUGCAAUCUCAAAAAUGAUAGAAUGAUCUCGAUACGAAUCCAAGGCAGACCUUUUAAUAUCACAGUAAUCCAAGUUUAUGCACCAACUACUGGUGCUGAAGAAACUGAAAUUGACCAAUUCUAUGAAGACUUACAAGACCUUAUAGAAGUGACACCAAAGAAGGAUGUUCUUCUCAUUAUAGGGGAUUGGAAUGCUAAAGUAGGGAAUCAAGAGAUAAAAGGAACAACUGGCAAGUUUGGCCUUGGAGAUCAAAACGAAGCAGCGCAAAGGCUAAUAGAGUUCUGUCAAGAGAACAAGCUGGUCAUCACAAACAAUCUUUUCCAACAACACAAGAGACGACUCUACACAUGGACAUCACCAGAUGGGCAGCAUCGAAAUCAGAUUGAUUAUAUUCUCUGCAGCCAAAGAUGGAGAAGCUCUAUGCAGUCAGCAAAAACAAGACCUGGAGCUGACUGUGGCUCAGAUCAUCAGCUUCUUAUAGCAAAAUUCAAGCUUAAACUGAAGAAAGUAGGAAAAACCACUGGACCGGUAAGAUACAGUCUAAACCAAAUCCCUUAUGAAUACACAGUGGAAGUGAGGAACAGGUUUAAGGAUUUAGGUUUGCUGGACAGAGUGCCUGAAGAACUAUGGAUGGAGGCUCGCAACAUUAUACAGGAGGCAGCAAUGAAAACCAUCCCAAUGAAAAGGAAAUGCAAGAAAGCAAAGUGGCUGUCCAACGAGGCCUUACAAAUAGCGGGGGAGAGAAGGCAAGCAAAAUGUGAGGGAGAUAGUGAAAGAUACAGGAAAUUGAAUGCAGAUUUCCAAAGAAUAGCAAGGAGAGACAAGAAGGCCUUCUUAAAUGAGCAAUGCAAAGAAAUAGAGGAAAACAACAGAAUGGGAAGAACCAGAGAUCUGUUCAAGAAAAUCGGAAAUAUGAAAGGAACAUUUCGUACAAAGAUUACCAUAAUAAAGGACAAAAGUGGUAAGGACCUAACAGAAGCAGAAGACAUCAAGAAGAGGUGGCAAGAAUACACAGAGGAAUUAUACCAGAAAGAUAUGGAUGACUUGUACACCCCAUGUAGUGUGGUUGCUGACCUUGAGCCAGACAUACUGGAGAGUGAAGUCAAAUGGGCCUUAGAAAGCACUGCUAAUAACAAGGCCAGUGGAAGUGAUGAUAUUCCAGCUGAGCUAUUUUAAAUUUUAAACGAUGAUGCUGUUAAGGUGCUACACUCAAUAUGCCAGCAAAUUUGGAAAACUCAGCAGUGGCCAGAGGAUUGGAGAAGAUCAGUCUACAUCCCAAUCCCCAAGAAGGGCAGUGCCAAAGAAUGCUCCAACUACCGCACAAUUGCACUCAUUUCACACGCUAGCAAGGUUAUGCUUAAAAUUCUACAAGGCAGGCUUAAGCAGUAUGUGGACCGAGAACUCCCAGAAGUGCAAGCUGGAUUUCGAAGGGGCAGAGGAACCAGAGACCAAAUUGCAAACAUGCGCUGGAUUAUGGAGAAAGCUAGAGAGUUCCAGAAAGACAUCUACUUCUGCUUCAUUGACUAUGCAAAAGCCUUUGACUGUGUCGACCACAGCAAACUAUGGCAAGUUCUUAAAGAAAUGGGAGUGCCUGAUCACCUCAUCUGUCUCCUGAGAAAUCUCUAUGUGGGACAAGAAGCUACAGUUAGAACUGGAUAUGGAACAACUGAUUGGUUCAAAAUUGGGAAAGGAGUAUGACAAGGCUGUAUAUUGUCUCCCUGCUUAUUUAACUUAUAUGCAGAAUUCAUCAUGCGAAAGGCUGGGCUGGAUGAAUCCCAAGUUGGAAUUAAGAUCGCCGGAAGAAAUAUCAACAACCUCAGAUAUGCAAAUGACACAACCUUGAUGGUGGAAAGUGAGGAGGAAUUAAAGAACCUUUUAAUGAGGGUGAAAGAGGAGAGUGCAAAAUAUGGUCUGAAGCUCAACAUCAAAAAAACGAAGAUCAUGGCCACUGGUCCCAUCACCUCCUGGCAAAUAGAAGGGGAAGAAUUGGAGGCAGUGAGAGAUUUUACUUUCUUGGGCUCCUUGAUCUCUGCAGAUGGUGACAGCAGUCACGAAAUUAAAAGACGCCUCGCUCCUUGGGAGAAAGGCGAUGGCAAACCUAGACAGCAUAUUAAAAAGCAGAGACAUCACCUUGCCAACAAAGGUCUGUAUAGUUAAAGCCAUGGUUUGCCCAGUAGAGAUGUAUGGAAGUGAGAGCUGGACCAUCAAGAAGGCUGAUCGCCGAAGAAUUGAUGCUUUUGAAUUAUGGUGCUGGAGGAGACUCUUGAGAGUCCCAUGGACUGCAAGAAGAUCAAACGCAUCCAUUCUUAAGGAAAUUAGCCCUGGGUGCUCACUGGAAGGACAGAUCAUGAAGCUGAGGCUCCAAUACUUCUCAUGAGAAGAGAAGACUCCGUGGAAAAGACCCUGAUGUUGGGAAAGAUGGAGGGCACAAGGAGAAGGGGACGACAGAGGACGAGAUGGCUGGACAGUGUUCUUGAAGCUACCAGCAUGAGUUUGACCAAACUGUGGUCAAGGCAGUGGAAGACAGGAGUGCCUGGCGUGCUCUGGUCCAUGGGGUCACGAAGAGUUGGACACGACUAAACGACUAAACAACAACAACAUCAUCCAUCAGAAGAAUAGGCUACCUCUUAGCACCAAACGCAGCUUCUCAACUUGCCAGUGCUGACACAAUGCCACUUUUGCUCAGCUUCCUGUGAAGCACUUCAGUCAUUCUUCUGCUAAUCAGCAUUUAGUUCAGCAAAGAGUAAGCCUUCAUUUUCACAGAUAUGUUUUCUUUUAGCUUGUAAUCAAAGCUUCGGUUGCGUCGCCUUCAAAAGCCAAUUACCAACUAAUGAGGGAGCACUUACAAAUUAUUUCGUUGUCAAAAACAAUUUGGUUUCGGCUUAACACCAAACCUUGCUUGACAAGGUGCAGCAGCCCAGGUAGGAUAAGGCUGCUCCAGUGCCAGAAACUGAACACCACUGGAUUCCAGUUUUUUGGGGGGGCACAAGUGGGGAGAUCUCUGUGAUGCUCAGUUCCUGUUUGUGGGUUUCCCAGAGGCACCUAGUUUGCUACCAUGAGAACAGGAAGCCGGACUAGAUGGUCCAUAGCUCAGUGACAGAGCAUCUGCGAGCAGAAGGUGUGAGGUUCAGUGCCCAGUGUCUCCAGGUGAGGCCCUGUCUGAAAUCCUGGAGUGCCACUGGCAGUCAGUGCAGACAGCACCAAGCUAGUUGGGUCAAUAGUCUGCCUUGGUUUAAUGCAGCUUCCUAUGGCAAACUGAAUCACAAAACUGAAAGAAGCGCACGUUUCCACAGAUAGCUGUACUUUAUUCAUCUAUCAGUUUGGGAGAGCGGUAUCACAUGACUUGCUUCCAGACCUGUGAUCGUGUAUCAAGGAGGUUUAUAUUGGGGGGGUGUGUAUGUGAAUUCCAAGGCCCCACCAAUAACCCAGAGAUGCAUUUUAAAUAAAAGCACACGUUCUGUUCUACUCAUGUAAAAACACCAGGCAGGGCCCACAAAUAACCUAGAGAUGCAUUUUAAAUAAAAGGACACAUUCUACUCAUGUAAAAACACGCUGAUUCCUGGACCGUCCACAGGCCAGUUUUAGAAGGCAAUUGGGCCGGAUCUGGCCCCCGGGCCUUAGUUUGCCUACCCAUGAUUGUGAUCUACUUUCAGAAUUAACAUCUGCCAGUGAUCUACCCUCAUUUUUUAGGGGUUCAGGUCAAAGUUGUUGAGCUUUUCUGGGAGGUGUUUGUUGGGGUUCCAUGGGGGGGGAUUUUAAGGGGGAAGGGGAUUAGUCGCUCACAAAAACAGCGUUGUGAAAGCAUUUUGCCUCACAUCAAAAACUCUGUCUUCUGUUACAGGCAGGUGAGAGGGGCUGGGGCCAGGUGCUCUUAGGCAAAAGCAAAGGAAAAUGAGCACGCGAUCGACAGCGAUCGACUGCAACCUCCCGGGGAUCGACCAGUCGAUCCCGAUCGACCUGUUGGACAUCCCCUGAUCUAGUGGAAGAGAGAGGCCGCUUGAACCAGUCAGACCCAGUUUCUUUGAAAGAAGCAGUAUGGAGAGGAUUCUGUAACAAGGAAAUUCUUGUGCCUUCCCCAUAAGGCCAGCAUGGUUUCACCCAGGAUAUCUUUCCAUCGACUAAAGUAACUUUCUUUGGAACUCGCCAUCUAUUCCUUGAACAGAGGCAGAUUUAGGGAAGGACGACUGGUUUGGUAGAAUGGACUGUUGUAGGAUGGAAGGCAAGGGGGGAGGGGCACCAAAUUUGGGCGUCACACAGGGCACUGCCGAAAUUUGAGACCCCCCCAAGGUCCACCACUUCCAUGAACUUCUCUUGAGUUCUUUGGCUGCAUCAGGUUUGUGUGUACUCUGCAUGCGUUAAGAGCCACGCUUGCCCAAGUGCAGAAACUGAGCCUGCACAGAACUGAAUGCAAGGGAAACAGCUCUGAAGUUGUGAAAGUGAGAUCUUUUCAAAUGCUGACAAAGGUAUAUGAAAUGACGGAUCACGGAGGACAAAACUGUGGGUCGGUGUGGCGAUCACACAGGGUCCCCAGACGUUUAACGGUCUAUUGAUCCCUCUGCCACCACUGUGCCCGCUUCCCCGCUGCCACCAACCCAUUACUCUCGGGUACACACUGAAUCCAGACAGUUGUUUAAAUUGAAUCAAAUAAACAAGUUUAUUUUAUAAGUAUUAACAAGUUUAUGGUUUCUCAGAUAAUAUUCUUGUCAGUUUCUUAACUUUAGUUUCUUUACCAGCCUAUACCUUCCUAAUACCUUCUGACUGAUUAUCUCAACUGUUUGACUGACUCCUCUUAACAGAUUCUCUCACUCUCCCACAUCAGAGUAGCCCAACCCACAGACUUAUUCUCUGUCCCUUCUCUAACUCCAGACUGACUUCUCAACAACUCUAACUCUAACUCCUCCCCUUGGGUUCCUAUUGGUUAGUCAUUUUACAAUUAGUUAACCCGUUCCUUAUGACCCAGUAUGAUGUCACACACCUAGGAGGGCAAACGCCACAGUCGGUUAUCUGUCUUUUCCCAUAUGAGACCUGACUAAGUCAUUAUUUUCCUUCACCUUGGUUCAAUGGUCUCAAUGCAUUUGCCAUUUUCUUCUGGUAACAUAAGCAAUACGGCCUAAUUUGGCACCCUCAGCCUAGCAUAAGUCUCAUAGUUUUUGUGUGCCUAGAGUAAGUCUUAGCCCAAGGGACACAAUGUUUAAUGUGAAAGAAAUGUGACCUAAAUCCAGUCCGUCUGUGGUCCUUAUCUUUGCAAAAAAAUAAUAAUCCUUAAAUAACCUCAAAUAAUAUUUAUGAAGUUGAAUAAAACAGGAAACUGGCAUGCACGAUGGUAAAUAUAUCAAAUGCAGGGAGGGGGAGGGGGAACCGGACUCCAAAAAGAGAAUAUGCUUAGGGUAAUUAUUAAUAGCCAGUAUCAACACUUAAAAUACUCAGUAGAUGUCAUUACCGUGUGAUAAAGAAGCACUUCCUUAAUAACAGCCUUCAGUAAAAUAAAUUAUGUGUAUAAUCAAACCAUAGUUAAGCAGUUUGAAAUGGCCUUAAUUUCGGUGGGAUGACUUGGCACAUGGAAAGUAUCUCCCCCGUCAGAAUUAAUGGCAUUUAGCAAUGCUUAACACUGUGUGUUCUGGGCAGCUAUGCUGACCUUGGUCUGGGUGGCACUAGUCAUACUGCCUCCACUCCUGGCUUGGGAGGAAAAUAGGGCUUACUUCCAGGAAACUGGGUUGCACUCCUGUUUACUCUGCACCCAGUGCCCUCCCACAGCUGCAUUUGAGAAGCGUUGUCCAUACAACAUUAGCCACAACCCCUAUUUAUCCUGCAUCCAUCCGGUCGCUUCUUACGAAACACUGUGUUUUCCUGCAUUUCCCUUGAAAACUAGCUUUGAUCAGAACUGAGAAGAAGAAUGACCUAGACUAGGUACACAUUAGUGCUUAAAAGGCCACGAGGCCAUUUCCUUCCCUCUGUGUUUCCAAGUCGCUUGCCUUGACGUUGCUACAAACUCCAGAAAGGCAUUACCUGACUUGUUUCACUGCACCAAAGUCCUCUUCAGUGAAACUGUCGCCUGCACAUGGGCAGCAGCUGUCUCAGAUGCCCAUAACUGUGGCUUCUGUUUUCAAAUCAGAUGGAAACUGGUUGGAAGGGAAACAAGUCAAUUAGCAGUAUCGGUUGUGGCUAACGCCAUGUGUACUCGGCUUCAAACACCAGUAGCGGGACUACACAGGAGCCAGAGUAAAUUGCAUACCCUCCAACAUAUCUCCGAUGAAAAUAGGAACAUCCUAUUCCAUUUGUGGGAUGUGAAACACAAGAGCAGUCAAGUAAAACAUUCCUGGAGUGAACAUGUUUACACAUAGGGAGGAAUGUUGUCCAGCCAGCAGGUAAACUUCCUGUUUCCUUCUGGGCUGGGACAGACUUCCUCUGCAUGUGACUAGAGGUGGGUGUGGCCUCACCUGUGCAGGUAACAACAAAAGCACAGGGCAGGGCAGCCAUCUCUCUCUCUUUGACUACAUGCAUCGAAGAAGCAACAUCUGCUUAGCCAAAGUUGCUGUCUUCCAGCCAAGAGAGGACAGAGGGACUGUCUCCUUAUGAGAUAGUUUCCAGGUGUAUGUUACUUUUCUAAGAUAAGUCUGCUUCUGUGAUUGAAUUGUGAACAGAAUGUGAGUAAAAUCUUUUUAUACUUUUAUAGAAGACUGUGUCGUGUCUUAUCUUUUAUGAGGGAAUAAGGGGGAAAUACCAGAACAGUUAUUAUAGAGGCUUUAGCGAGCCUGAGCAAACACAUCCGCUGUGAGUUUAAAAAGGGGGAUGUUACUCUGCUAAAUUGUGAACUUGUUAACACAAGUUGGAAAGGCUAUAAUCAAACAAUAUAUCCUCUCCUGCAUCCCUGAACAUUCCCACACCAUUAUUAUUAUUAUUAUUAUUAUUAUUAUACCCUGCCCACCUGACUGGGUUGCCCCAGCCACUCAGGGCAGCUUCCAACAUAUAUAAAAACAGAAUUAAACAUUGAACAUUUAAAAAGCUUCCCUACACAGGGCUGCCUUCAGAAGUCUUCUAAAGGUUGUAUAGUUACUUAUCUCCUGCGAUUGGGAGUCGCAUAGCUCCGUUACCCUUUCUCCAGUGAAAAUAGGGACAUCUGAAGUAAAAGCUGGACAUUCUGGGAUCAAAUAAGAAACCGGGACAGCUUCUGUAAAACCAGGACUCUUCCUGGAAAAUCAGGGCACUUGGAGAGUUUGAAAUGGUAAUAUAACACAGCCUUAACUGCGUUUUAAGUUGGCUAUGUACAGUGGUACCUCAGCUUACAGACGCUUCAGGUUACAGACUCCACUAACCCAGAAAUAGUACCUCAGGUUAAGAACUUUGCUUCAGGAUGAGAACAGAAAUCGUGUGGCGGCAGCGGGAGGCCCCAUUAGCUAAAGUGGUGCUUCAGGUUAAGAACAGUUUCAGGUUAAGAAUGGACCUCCAGAAUGAAUUAAGUACUUAACCCGAGAUACCACUGUACAGGCCUUUUUUCCCCAGCCAAAGCUCACCAGAACUGAGUUCCGGCACCUCUCAGGUGGGUGCCAUUGCCAUUCUAAGAGAAUGAGUGAAUUCAUGGUGAGUUCCAGCACCUCUUUUUGUAGAAAAAGAGCACUGGUCAUGUGUACUCAGCCUUAGUUGCACCCCACCAUUGCCCAGUUCCUUCAUUUUAAUCCCCACCUGGAUUUCUUAAAGAGCUUUCACUGUAGAAAUACCUGGGUGCUGUAGAUACCUUACAAUCCAUGAGGGUAUUUUUUUACUGCCCACGUCCUCCUGACUUUCCAUUCAAAGCCUUAUAGCCUUUUCCAUUCAAAGAGAAGUUUAAUCACUGCUAGGCAGGGGCUCAUUGAUUAAAAAUGUCACAAGUGAUGAGAAUGUAAAAGAUUGCUUCCACGCUUGAUGAAUUACACAUGCAAGUUCGCAUACGCUGCAAAAUGAAUAAAAAAUGAAAUGAAUUAGAAUCUUCUGAUGAAAUGAACAAGCCUAUAUUUGCAUGCAAAAUUUAUUAGGUGGAGGAGAUGUGCUUCCUUUUAGGAGAAACAGCAUGUGCAAAUCUUAGAAUUUACUAAAACGACCUGCACUUAUCGCUCAUUAGAGCAUACCGUCUGUACUGUUGAUGUGUGCAAACAAUUCCAACGUGUUUUAAGAAAAUGAAACUGCUCUGGCAGCUUCAAUGAGAUAUUAGUACAUCUUUUAAAUGCGUUGAUCUCACCUUUGCAGCAUAGCUGGUAAAAAGGAUUCUUUGGGGUAAUUGAGUUAUUAGCUCCUGCUCACAGCUCAAACAUACAUAUGGGGUUCUGCAAGGAUGCACACCAGGUCUAAAAAGUUUCAGGGAAGCAUUAGGGUUCUUUCAGAUUCUUAUGGGGUGGGGAGGGCAAUAGCUCAGUCAGCAUUAGAACAUACGUUUUGCAUGGAACACGUUCAUACCAUGAAAUUCCAGAAAGCUGCUGUCCACCGGUGUAAUGGUGUGGUCUGGCUUGGUUUGGCAGUGUUCUAAAUUGGCUAGGGCGCACUCUGCACAUGCUUUAGAAAAAUACCUGCUCUCAACCAAUCCCCCAUCCUGCCAUAUGCAACGCUCAUGGGGCACCGUGGCUGCCACUUGGGUAGGUCACCAAACUCUUACCCCUUUGUUCCAGCCUAUUGGCAGGCAGUGCUAAGGAUUCUUGCCUUGCCCCGGGGCUGUGGCAACCCAUGCUACACCACUGUGCUGUUGUGUACGUGUGUUUGACGGUGUAUAAUAUAUGAUGAACCCACAUGGCUGCCUGAAUUUUUGGCCUCUCCCUGGGAGUGUGGCUGUGGACUUUCUUUGGGGCAUGGCCAGGGGUGGUGUUCAAUGAUGAGCUCCUGUCCUUCAAAAUCUACUCCUACACCACUGCCAGGAAGAGCAGGUGGAAGAGAGGAAAAUGCUAAGCCCUCCCUCAUUCAUGCUUCUCUCCCUGAAGCUGAUGCUUUUUCUUCUGGUUAAGGUCCAAUACUAGAAACGGCACACAGUAGGAAAAAGAAAUACAGCUGGAGAAAGUGUUCUGUGUCGCACAAUAAGUUCCCCCACCCCUGAUAUUAAGAGUCCCGUGCUCUACCGACUGAGCUAUGUUGUGUAGGAAACCUGCACGGUUCACUUUCCGUCACUUGCGUCAUGCCACGAAAAUGUCUACGUUGCCCUAGAAUAAAACUGCUUGAACAGUGAAACUUAAAAGCUAUCUCACUGUUUUUAUGUAUUAUGGCAGAUUUCACCCAUUCCGCAAACGGGCCAGCACAGCCGCCGGCUUUUUUGACAGGUUUCAAGUGGAAUCUAAUGGUGCCCUCUAGAGGAACAGAAUUCGUAUUGAUUUCUUAUUGACAAUGAGAAUAAUGGCUAUCACUUAAUUUCUAAUCUGAAUUAGGAACAUAAAUCCUGUUUUGGCCGUUUGCUUUGCAACGAGGAAUCCUCUUCUUCGUUCCUUGAAGCGCCUGUUCAAGAGCCAGAACGUUUUGUCUUCAGCGACAUACCUGCUGUUUUGAAAACACCUUAGUUUUGAAAAUUAUCCUGCCCCUGUGAUUGCUCUGCAUGUUGAACAAGUUGUGCUGGUGAGGACAAUGUUUUUCAUGUUCUUCACAAACUAAGGCAUGAAGUAGAGUUGCCCGCUGGUUCUUGUUGCUUUUACUGCCAAAUGUGCAAAAUUACUUUUAACCUUUUUAAAUAACAAUUAAUGUCACUGUCUUUCAAACAGAACCAUGGUGAGAAAAUGCCCAAACCAAACACUCCCAAAGGAUAACAUUGUAAGCACUUCCCAGUACUUCAAUAGGGCUUUGAAGUAAAAAAAAGGUUGGAUGCUGUUUCCCCAGUGUUGUGCAGUGAUUCAUAUACACCUAUAAUAGCAAGAGACAGCUGUCUCCUAACGCAAGCAUAAAAACAUCACAUUGCCAUCUUCAGUGGGGCUGGAGGCAGAAUGCCCCAGAAUUAGAUGAAGGAUGUAGCUGACCAGGUGUGUCAAUAUUGGGGGGGGGGCAGGUAAGCCAUUUGAAUAGCAAUACCCAUCAACUUUGGAAGCCCUCUCAAAUAUUUUAUUUAGGGGGACCAGGUCACCCCCAUUGUUCAGCCCGGACACUGAGAUCCAGCGCCGAGGGCCUUCUGGCGGCUCCCUCAUUGAGAGAAGUGAGGCUACAGGGAACCAGACAGAGGGCCUUCUCGGUAGUGGCACCCACCCUUCAGAUGUGAAGGAAAUAAGUAGCUAUCUUAUCUUUAAAAGACAUCCGAAGGCAGCCCUGUUUAGGGAACUUUUUAAUAUUUAAUGCUGUAUUGUUUUUAACACUCGAUUGGAAGCUGCCCAGAGUGGCUGAGGAAACUCAGCCAGGUGAGCGGGGUAUAAAUAAUAAAUUAUUAUUAUUAUUAUUAUUAUUACUACUAAGGUUUUGGUUGCUAUGUAACUGGCUCUCCGUAUCUCAUUUCCACAAUCCCAACAGAUAACUGUUGUUGGCGUCCAUCUGUCUCAAGAGACAAUGGAAGAGUACGCCUUUGGGGGGUGAAGUCAAACUGUUGGAAGGUUGCAGCGCCUGCUGUGGCUGUAGAGACCGAUAUGGGAGAGACAUGUUUUUCUGCAGCUGGGGCAAGUGAAGGUGUCCAGUUGUGCUGGUGCAUGUGUCCCAGCAGUCAUUCCUCCUCCGGUCACUGCUAUGGAUGCACAACCCGACUGUCACUGCAGUCAUCUACAAGGGAUUCUCACAGGGCAAGGUCAAUGUUGUCAGCCUUCAUGUCCCUUUGCAUAUAUCUUUGUAGCAGAGUUGGUCUGCCAACGGGCCUGGUGCUUGAAGACAGUUCCCCAUAACAGCAUAUCCUUGGGGAUCCUGCCAUCUUCCAUUCUACUGUCAUGACCGAGCCAGGGCAUAGAUGUCGCUGAGACAGGAGUACAAACAUGCUAGGAUUGUGGGCUUGGGAGAGCACAUCUUUGUUCGAAACUCCAUCCUCCUAUGUGGUACCCAAAAUCUUCCCUGCAGAUAGCUGCCAAAGAAACAAGAGGCAAGCUAUCCUAGGGAAAGUGGCCCUCUCUGUCCGACCAUUUUGAAAAUAUAAUAGGCAUUUGUCCUUUUUUGUUUAAUUCAUGAUAUUUGUUCAGAAUUCUCCGAUGCUUUUGCUAACAAUAUCAAUUUUCUUUUCCCAAAAACCAUCCACAACUUAAUUUUCCUUGGUUAUCUUCCUUUUGUCUGUAUUUACCUCUUGUGCUCAUUGCAAUAUUUAAUUCUCAAUCUUCUCUUGUGUAUUUACUUUUCUUUAAUAGUUUUAUACAGUUUUAAGAAUACAGGCCUAUGAAUAGAUGGCAGAAAGUGAUGCAGGGAAGGGGAGGCAAAUCUGCAACUGUAAUGCAAUCUAAAUAAAUGAUGUAUCCUGCAAUAAGGAACUAUAUUAUUAAUAAGCAUGCAAAGGAGACCCAGUCCUUCAAGCAAUUAGCAUUUGUAUUGCAUCCAGGAGGUUUACCAUUUUUUAAAAAAUAGAUAAUUGCUCUUCUGGUUUUAAUUCUGCCACAUACUCCAAUCCAGACAUGGUUAAAUACUUGGUAUAAACUGCCAAUCAAAAAGUUAAAAUGUUGGUUGGUUCGUAGGCAGGCAGGUUCCUCUGUAGAAAGUUGCUCAUAUCAAGGGAGACCAGUGUGAAAAUCAGUCACUCACACAGAUCAUCACUUGGAAUAGAAGGAUUUAGAAAACAGAAUUUGGGACCCCCGGUUUAGUUAGAUGGAUUCCAGUUCUCUUUUCCCUCACAUAAAAAGGAGCUUUGUAGCUACAAAUGAAGAAAAUGCAGCGGGCAGGGGAAGUACCAAUCAAAAAAAAAAAAAAAGAUUGCCUUUAUCCAUCCAUCCCUUCUCCAGUGCUUUCCUGAAAAACCUCUUCAGAACUUCAUGAGCUUUAAUAUGAUAUGGAACAUGAUGGACACAGCAGCAUAUAAAACAAACCGCAUAGUAUCCCCGGCUAACGUUUCAUCUAUUGCAAUCACCUAUCCUUAAAAUGGGACGUGGGUGGCGCUAUGGGUUAAACCACAGAGCCUAGGACUUGCCGAUCAGAAGGUCGGUGGUUCGAAUCCCCGCGACAGUGUGAGCUCCCAUUCCUCGGUCCCUGCUCCUGCCAACCUAGCAGUUCGAAAGCACGUCAAAGUGCAAGUAGAUAAAUAGGGACCGCUCCGGCGGGAAGGUAAACGGCGUUUCCGUGCGCUGCUCUGGUUCACCAGAAGCAGCUUAGUCAUGCUGGCCACAUGACCUGGAAGCUGUAUGCCAGCUCCCUCGGCCAAUAAAGCGAGAUGAGCGCCGCAACCCCAGAGUCAGCCAUGACUGGACCUAAUGGUCAGGGGUCCCUUUACCUUUACCUUAUCCUUAAAAUACUCCCCAAUUUUCUACUUUCUAUUCUGAGUGAAACCCUUCUCUUCUAAACACGUUAUUUAACAGAGUUGGCCUUUGUGAGCGUUGACAAAAGGUGCAUCCAAUAGACAACGCAUGUGUCAGAGCUGGCUCCAGGUCCCAGCUCACAGAGGACCAACGCUAGCCGGCAGUAAUGUACAAAAGUCUUUAUUGAAGUACAGUUUCCAUUUUCAAGCCGGAGCGCCCCAGCUCUACGUCUAGGGGUUAGAUCGGCGAAGCUCCAUCUGAGUCUCCGCCCCCUGUACACCAGUUUAAGAUUCUAGCCUUACUCCACCUCUUACGUCUCUCCUUUCUCCUCUGGGUCCUGCUACCCCCCGGGGGGGCUUCCUUCCUGGGUUCUUCUGACGCUGACCCCCUGACUCCUCCCCUCUUUUCGGCGGGCUUUGGGACCUGGCUCCCUAUCCGGGCUGCCAACUGCGCCGCCCUCCUGUACAUUUGAACUUGCGCGCGCGCCCAGCCUUCAACCUUCCUCUCAACCGCUUCCUCGCUCCCCGAUGGAGGCGUGGCCAAUCCUGACUCAUGUCCUCCCACUGGCAGUGCGCCGCCUGAUCCCGAUGCCUGGGACUCCUCCCCUUCUGCACUCUGGUGUGGACGCUGGUCCUGAUUUCCAACUGCUGCUCUCUGAGUCCCCUCUGGCCCCUUCUUCCUGGGGUGUCCCCUCGGCACCCCCUUGCUCUGACCAAGGGAGCCCUUUCUGUGAAUCUUCCGAUUCGCUGGAAAGACUCAGAGACCUCGGACCGCUGUCAUCGCUAACAUUUCCUUCGGACUCCUCCCCCUCGCUCUCUAUUUCCUCCCUUUCCUGUGCCUCUGCUCCUGAACCCCUGACAGCAUGGUUUUUAAUUCGACUGCAACCUGCCACAGAAUGUUCCAGCAUGCAAUGCCCUUGUUCAGUGUUGCUGCCAAUCAGCCAUGCCUUCCUCUUCCGGAAUACUCCAUUCCACAACCACCCCAACUGUCAAUCAACAUUCCGUGACCAUGGAAACAUGCUCAUUCCUCAUUGGAGUAUUUGAGGGGAGAAGAGGUUCUCUUCAUUCUGCUCACCCAAGAUUUUUGGUACUUCUGCAAAUUUAAGAUUCCCCUGAGCAUGUUGAUACGUCCCUCAUGUCCAUAGGCAGUCCAAUUUUGUCUACGUAAGAAUAGGUGCUCAGGGACUGCAUCCACUAUUUAUACAUAGCAUGAUUUUGUCUCUAGGAGGGGAAAAAAGUGUGCUGUAUCAACAUUCAUGUGUCAUUCUUUGCAGGAGUGUGGCAAGGUAGUCUGAAGGUUAAAAAGAAAAAAAUCUGCAAAAACCUGAUUUUCUAAUGAAUCCAGAAUCUUGGGUGCACAGUGAGUACAGAGUCCCUUUGAAAAUCAAUCUUUAAGAGACCAAAAGGGGGGGAAAGGUUCCCUAGCCAAACAUUUGUGCUGUUAGAAAUGUCUCCUUUUGCAGAACGCCAGAGUCAGAUGUGUAGCUCGAUGGCAAGGAGAAGGGGGGUAUCAGGCGAUCUUCUUUCAUGUAUUUGUAUAGGCUGCUUUUCAGAAAUCCUGUUUUGAUUAAAGCAAAUACAGAUGAGUUGUCAUAGAAUAUACUUUUAAUAGAACAAAUAAGGAGGUGAGAAUCAACAGCAUUUACCCACAUAAAGAUACUCUGCAAACGUUCCUCGCAAGCAUCGCCUAUGCAUAGAAAUUUGAUUUGUAAUAGAAUUGCUUAAAUUAAGCCUUGAUUUCAAGCAGAUAGCAUAAGAGGAAAGAGACUAGUCCGAGCUGCUAAAAAAAAAGUGGUGUCUGUUUAAAUUUUAGCGAUCUCACACUGUCUUGGGAGAAAUCAAACGAUAUUGACUUUUUCUCUCUUACAUGUUGCACAGAGACUCACUAUGCACAGGCAUAUAUUAGCCUCUUCAGGGUUUAUUCAUGUAUGAUAUGCAGACAGUGUGCCCUGAAUAACUGAGACUGUUAGCAGCAUGGCUACACUACAGCCUUUUAGCAUUUUAACAGUCGUGUCCUCUCCCCGUGAAAUCUUCCUAUUGUAGUUCUUCUUUGAGGGACGACAGACAGUUCCUAGCACUGUCUGCAAGAUUAUUUGGGGGAAGCAAAGACACAAAACUGAUAUGGGUUCAUAGCUGAGAUAUGAUCUAGCGAUACUUUCACAAAAACAGGUUUGUGGAUAAUCAGAGUGCCAAUUACUCCCCCCCCCAUAAGGACCCAACCAUAUGAUAUUGUUGCACACCAGCCCAGUCUCCACAGGGGUUCCUGGCAUGCUUUGCCCUGGGUUUGUAUUUCCUUUUAGAAAAUGAGGCACAGCGGAGACUGUAGUGUCUUUAUGAUCAUAGAAUUGUAGAGUCAAGGGUCAAUGAGUCCAAUGCCCUCCAAUGCAGGAAUCUCAGCUAAAGCAUCCAUGACAGAUGGCCAUCCAACCUCUGCUUAAAAACCUCCAGAGAAGGAGAGUCCGCGACCUCCUGAGGGAGACUGUUCCACUGUCGAUCAGGUCUUACUUUCUGAUGUUUAGUCAGAAUCUCCUUUCUUGAAGUCUGAAGCCAUCUUCCAUGUGAUAGCCCUUUGGGCAUCAUUCAGCAGUACCCAAUGGGCCUUUAAAAGAAAAAGAAAAAGCAGCUCAGAGGCUCUGUUCAAGUACAUACAGUGGUACCUCAGGUUACAUACGUUUCAGGUUACUGACGCUUCAGGUUACAGACUCCGCUAACCCAGAAAUAGUACCUCAGGUUAAGAACUUAGCUUCAGGAUGAGAACAGAAAUUGCACGGCCGCAGCAGGAGGCCCCAUUAGCUAAAGCGGUGCUUCAAGUUAAGAACAGUUUCAGGUUAAGAACAGGCCUCCGGAGCGAAUUAAGUACUUAACCCGAGGUACCACUGUAUUGCCAGUCCAGACAUGAUCUGCACCAAUUUCCUUCUGAAAAUUGUCCCUGCUGCGAUUUCUCCCCAAAUUUGCUGACCAUCAACAGCACCCUCAGGGACAAGAGUCAGGGGGGUGCUCCUCAACAGGAAAUUGGUGCAAGACCUCAACCUAGACAAGGAGCAUGUUUCUGGAUUGGGAUCCUGCAGUUGCUUUUUCUUAAGAAUAAAUGGAGCCAGUUAAGACAGUUUUUUAAUAAACAUCAAUCAUGCAACAUGCAGUUUGCCCCUAAGACAUUAAAGAAAAGCCAGAAGAUUGUUAAGAAGGGGAAACCACAAUCUCCUUGUGGUGACUUGCCUGUGGUUCCUGGGACAUCUGCUCCUGAAAUGUCAUUAGCCCCAUGAUUUGGCAAGGCUGUCAAAUUCUUCAUACUUGGUGUGGGACAGAUUUCCCCUCAUAAAACUUAGCUCUCUGGUCUAACCACUUGGUUCAGAAGUAGCCAACAUGUUGCUCUCCAGGUCUGCAGGACCAUAACUCCCAUGAGCCCCAUCUAGCAUACCCAAUGGGCAGGGAAGAUGGGAUUAGUAGUUCAGCAAUGACUAAGUUGCCCCUGACGUAGUUCAGCCUCUGGCCUGACCGUUCAUGCUUUGUUGUAAGAUUACUGUAAACUGCUUUGACAGGUUGCCUACAUCUGAAUAGUAAUAUAUAAAUGUUUACUUGCUUGGAAAAGGACCGCUCCCCUUCCAAUAGCUGCUUGUCGAUAUGGGUGAUCAGAAUCAGCACAGGAAACAUACCAAAAUUUGUGACAGUAACUCUAAAUUCCUGCAACAAGAAAUACAUCUUUAAUUGGAAUGGGGUCCUUAGUAUGUUCCUAAGCUGCCACUUGAUGUUCUCUGGGUUCCUAUCUACUGACGAAUUUUUACUGUUUCCACAUUUGGCAUCAUGCAUUUUAUAUCAGAGAGUGUCUGUCAGGUUUUGUUUUGUUUUAAUAGAAAAAGUACAUUCUCUAAGGCUGUUAAAAACCUGUGAAAGAAAAUAUUAUUCUGCACAUCCCUGAUAGCAAAAUCGCCAUUGCCUAGUCUUCGUACUAAGAAUUCAGUGAGACGCAGUAAGAAAUCAAUAAAAACACAAAUUGCUCCAUCAAUACGUGCAUUCAUUUAUACUCUUCAAGGUUAUCUUUGCAAUGUUGGUGCAGAGACGCAUUUUCUCUGUCAUGCAUAUUAAACCAGGCAAAGAGUUAUGGAAAGGGAACCCAAUCUAUCAGAACAAAUCUAGUCUAGCAUACACAAUAGAUAGGUGGAGUGGGUUUCGUUUCUCACCCCCUCCUCCCUGCCCUUUUUAGCUGGAUGUAGCUAAUAUUUUGAAAUGUGCAAGGACCGUUUUAUCAGUACAGUACUUCUAAGCCACUUUCAUCUACAUUUAUAAUCAAUAUGUCCCAAGGUUGACGUGCUAUUAGCAGGCAAUGGGUCCAUAUUCAUUUUAACCACUUACCAUGCCAAUUGCCACAGGAUUUACUCUCCCGAUGUGAAUGAAUUUCCCCCAGCAGCUCACUCUUGCACAAGAGUUUUCCCUAUGCACAAAAUAAAAGGGGAAUCAGGCGACCCUUAUCUCUGAGCAUUCACCUUGGCCGAAAGAGAGUGACUGGAAAUCAACUCUCUCACCAAAGAAAACACCGCAUUACGGGAGGAGAAAAGGCAGCUGCAUCCAUUGUUGGGAGGAGUGAUGCAAAAAUAACCUCUUCUCAUCUCUAGCUGUCAAAUUUUGAAGGGAGGAAAAUGACAAGUAUUCACACAUUCAUACUAAUUUCAGCCUAGAGCCUGCUAGACAUUGGAUUUGGGGCUGGUUCGUGUACCCAGUAGCUUCCACACUACUGUCCCCAAUAUUAUUCCAGGUCACCAGGGUCACAGCUGGUAGGAACCGAUGCCCCCAUUGUGACCACUGAGAUUUGCAUAAAUAUGGUGGCUUAGAAAAAGGAGCAUCAUGGCAGAUACAUGGGUGCUCCCAACUUGGAGGCUCAUUAAAUGGGAGGCCCAGUUCAAUCAAAUGACACUUGUGUGUGCAGUGGUCCAGUUAGAUUUUGUUAAACCCUGGAUUUAGGAACAUAGUAAGGUGCCUUAUACCAAGUCAGAACCAUGGGUCCGCCUAAUAAUAAUAAUAAUUUAUUUAUACCCCGCCCAUCUGGCUGGGUUUCCCCAGCCACUCUGGGCGGCUUCCAACAGAAUAUUAAAACACAAUAACCUAUUAAACAUUAAAAGCUUCCCUGAACAGGGCUGCCUUCAGAUGUCUUCUAAAAGUCUGGUAGUUGUUUUUCUCUUUGACAUUUGGUGGGAGAGUGUUCCACAGGGCAGGUGCCACUACCGAAAAGGCCCUCUGCCUGGUUCCCUGUAACUUGGCUUCUUGCAAUGAGGGAACCGCCAGAAGGCCCUCGGCACUGGACCUCAGUGUCCUGGCAGAACGAUGGGGGUGGAGACGCUCCUUCAGAUAUACUGGACCAAGGCCUAGUAUUGUCAGUGCUGAUAGGCCAUAGUUUUCCAGGAUUUCAGACAGGAAGCCUCUCCCAGCCCUCCCAGUUCUAACUGGAAAUGACUCUGAGACCUUCUGCAAUCAAAGCACAGAGCUGUGGCCCUUCCUAUAACGGUGUUUCUCAGCCUUGGGUCGCCAUCUGUUGUUGGACGACUGCACCCAUCAUCCCUGACCACUGUCCCUGCCAGCUAGGGAUAAUGGGAUUUGUCGUCUAACAACAACUGGAGACCCAAGAUUGAGAAACAGUACUAUAAGACUUAAUGGUCUUACAGGGGGCACUUCUUUAGAUAGCAUUGCUUGCAUAGCUCGAAAUGUAAUGUCAGGCUGCUGGUUAAAAUUGCACUGCUCAUCCCCCUGUGUGGGACCCUACCCUUUGCCCCCAAAGUCCUGCCCUGCUAGCAUCUCUGGCUGUGUGUCCAACCACAAACCAAGUAAUAGCCCCAUAGAUUCCAGCCAGUGAUAGCUUGAUAGCUGCAUAGGCAAACCAGAUAACCGACAUAAACAGCUAAGAAUCUCCCAAUACGUAGUCUGGUUUUUCGGGGUUAGAUGUUCUCAGUAUUUAGUUCAUAUGCAGGCAACUCCCCAUUUACACAGGGGUUAUGUUCCAAGGCGCUGUGCACGUCAGUGAAAUUGCGUAUAUUUGAAACACCAUUGAAAAAACCUGCCAACGUCCCGCCUCUGCCUGCCCCAUUCCACCCGUUUUUGUGACUUUUUGUGAUGUUUUUAGGUCACUUCCAGGUCAGAGUUGCGCGCAUGACAUCAUAAGUACGCGCAGUCGCCCUCCCCAUGUUAGGCAGAUCUUGGCACUUCUGGUCUGAAUGACACAUUCAGAACUCUGCCUGGCCUGUGAUCUUGUAUCCAGUGAGGGUUAGAAUCUAGUACCAGGGCGUCCAAACUUUUUUCAAAGAGGGCCAGAUUUGAUGAAGUGAACAUAUGUGAGGGCCAACCAAAGUUGUUGAGCUUUUUCUAGGAUUUAACUUGCUGAGCUUUUUUUAGGAUUUUACCCCAGGACUUAUACUGCCACGGGGGCCGGAUUAAAUCAGAUUAGGCCCCUGAAACGGACUUUGGACAUGCCUGAUCUAGUAGAAGAGGAUACUGAAUGACAAGUUUCUCUGUAAGUCAAUGGCCUUAGCUGGCCACUUAAGUGCUCUCAUCAGCAGCUCAACGGAUGAGCUAGGCUGCAAUAGCUACAAGAACAAGAAGCCAAAGGGAGGCUGGAAGCUGGAGAUGCAAUGACAUGUUUGCUCUGUGCUGGACUUUUUGGGCUCCCCUGGAAACCUAAAGGGGAAGCAAAAUCUAUGAGAGGGUCAGUGUCAUGAGCUCCUCCAUCCAAUGCUCAGGUUGUAUAUAUGUGUAAAUAAAGCAAUAUAUCCUAAAAGCACCACAGUCUCUGCUGACCUUUAUUCCAAGGAAACCAAACCCGAGGUAAGCACUUGAAACCCAUAGAGCAAGCAUGGCCAAACUCGGACCUCCAGAUGUUUUGGGACUACAGUUCCCAUCAUCCCUGACCACCGGUCCUGUUAGCUAGGGAUGAUGGGAGUUGUAGUCCCAAAACAUCUGGAGGGCCAAGUUUGGCCAUGCCUGCCGUAGAGUCUCUCACCACGCAGAGAUUGGGGUGGCAUUUAACAGUAUCUACAGUUCUGUCGGGACGCGGGUGGUGCUGUGGGUUAAACCAUAGAGCCUAGGGCUUGCCGAUCAGAAGGUCGGCGGUUCGAAUCCCCGUGACGGGGUGAGCUCCCAUUGCUCUGUCCCUGCUCCUGCCAACCUAGCAGUUCGAAAGCAUGUCAAAGUGCAAGUAGAUAAAUAGGUACCGCUCCGGCUGGAAGGUAAACGGCAUUUCCGUGCACUGCUCUGGUUUGCCAGAAGUGGCUUAGUCAUGACCCAGAAGCUGUACGCCGGCUCCCUCGGCCAAUAAAGCGAGAUGAGCGCCGCAACCCCAGAGUCAGUCACGACUGGACCUAAUGGUCAGGGGUCCCUUUACCUUUACCUUUACAGUUCUGUCUGAGAAACAACUGGAGCCAGUGAUGCAAUAUGUUUCCAGAAGCCCAACAUUAUGAAUAAUGAACUUGUGGUCCAUGCUGAAAACAGUAUUAUAUUAAAGCUAGAGUCACACAGAUACCUUGGCUACAAGAAAUGUUUCACUAUCAGGCUGGGAGAGUGAUUUGCUUGUUUGUUUCUGUGUACCGACUGCAAAAUUUGGAGGUGUUUCAUCCCAUUCGAGGGUACCUUCAUCAUGUAACAGGUUUUGUUGUUUUGGGGCAUUCAGUAUGGAAAUGGCCUUGUUGCAAUUACUAUAAUGAUCUAGCAACCUCUCCCUUGUAUUUCGAGUUUUGAGCCAGCAGAGGAACCAUAAAGCAAUGUGAUUAACUCUGAUUGUAAAACGCCCUCCACAUAACAAAGAUAUAAAUUAUUGGCUCUCUUAACAACUGCAAAUCACUCUUAUCUAGCAGCAUUACAAUGUAUUUGCCUGCAGUUUGACUUUUGUGGGCUAUUAUCCGCCUGACCUUGUGUGUGCAACACCAGCGCUAUGUUCCUUCUUCUAGCGCUCAAAAAACAUGCGUUCUUCCAUUGCUAGUCGGAUCAUGAGUGCUUUUGCCUGCUAACUGCCUACUCCUGAGAAUCUUGAUCAGUUAACAGGUGUUAAAAUAAGUUACAUGCACCUAAUGGAACAGAGGAAACUACUUUGAGUAACAAGCACAUUUUUUGUUGGUUUUUGCUGAAACAGGCCCCAUUGCUAUAAGGUGGGCCAAUAUUUUUAUACCCAUAUUGCAGAUGGAAAACUGAGGUUGUCAAAGGGCACCUAGGCUGCAAUCCUACACCAACCUAUCCACUUGCCUUCAGCAGGACUUACAUUUGAAUAGACUUGCAUAGGGGUGCACUGCUAGACUGCAUUCCUGUAUACACUCACUUGAGAGAAAGUCAUAUUUAAGGCAAUGGGGCUUCCCUCUGAGCUAGCAUGUAGAGCAAUGGUGGCCAAACUCGGCCCUCCAGAUAUUUUGGGACUACAAUUCCCAUCAUCCCUGACUACUGGUUCUGUUAGCUAGGGGUAAUGGGAGUUGUUGUCUCAAAACAUCUGGAGUCUGGCCACCACUGAUGUAGAGACUUGCCCUGGCAGCUGAAAUUUUAAACCUUGUUAAGGGUCAUGAACACAGUAAGACUUGCUCCCAAGUAAAAAUGAACAGGACUGAGGUGUUAGUUAGCCUGUGACAGUGGCAAGUUUCAAAGAAAAUGGACUUUCUCAGUGUCUUAAAGGGCAAUCCUUUGCCUGUCUACUCAGAAGUACCAUAAACUCAAGUAUAAGCCGACCCGAAUAUAAGCCGAGGCACCUAAUUUUACCACAAAAAACUGGGAAAACUUAUUGACUCAAGUAUAAGCUGGUUCACCACACCACAAACCUGGUGGUGGCGGCAGCGGCGGAGGGCUGCUCGUUCCUCCGCCACCGACAGCGGCAAAGGCAGAGGAGGAAGAAGGAGCAGCCCAAAAGAACCCUCACUCGAGUAUAAGCCGAAGGGGGCUUUUUCAGCAUAAAAAAUGUGCUGAAAAAGUCGGCUUCUACUCGAGUCUAUACGGUAAAUGCCACUAUGUUCUUUGGAACUUACUCCCGUGUAAGCAUGCAUAGGAUUGCAGCCUUAGCCAAUAUGCUACACCAGGCCUCAAUAUAAUACAAGAGGAAGUCAAAGCAACGUUGAGGCUGGCACAAGGUAUAAUAUCAAGCAUAAAGACCAUAUUACAGUGGUAAGUAGUGAAUCUCGAAACUCUUAUUGGCUUUUUAUGGCUAUCACUUAUGUGGUCUGCAGCUUAGAAUUAUUUUUCUGCUGCACUUUAACAAAGUGAUUUGUAUGAUGAAGGGCUUUUACAUCAGUGGAGGAGGAGAAAUGAUGGAACUCUUAACUGGGAUAGGGUUAUAUUCAGCUGGAAGCUUACCAGCUGCACUGAGAGUACAGUAGAAAUUAAGACCAUCUCAGAGCUAAGAUUAUGUAGUUUAUGUUCAUGCAAACUUACUCUUGCACACCAGCCCAAUCUCCAGGUGGUACAAGAUUCCAGACAUGCUUACCCAGAGUUCGUGAUUCCUUUUGGAAAUGAGGCACAGCAGGGAGUGUGGCGUCUUUAUGAUAUAUGGUUUAUUUACACAUAUAGACAGCCUGAGCCUACAAUGGAGGGGUUCACAGCAUUAAACACCCCCAAGAGGGUCUUGCUUCUCCCACAGCUGCAGUCCUGGAUCUCAGCAAAUAUCAGGCAUGGCUCUGACUCUCUCCCUUCCCAGCUUGCUACUUUUGCAUCCAGCUUCUAGCCCACAUAACUCAAUUCUGGUCUUUUGUCUUUCUAAGUAACAGACCAUUGAGGAGGGAAGGCUUACCCAUUGGCCCUCUGGCACACAGCCACUCCUUUUGUUCCCUUAACGACCCAUAUUUAGCAGGCCAUUACCAGGCUGACUUGGCUAUUCCAGAAAUUGAAUCUGUGCUGGAACUAGGAAUUAGAAGUAGUGCUCAGGAAUACAGCCUACCUCCCCUCAAAAACUCAACACUAUUAACAGUGCAGUCUGAAGCACAUCUGCUCAGAAAUAAAUCCCAGUGGCUUUAACAGCCAUGCAAGUCUGCCUAGGAUUGCAGCCUCAUUUAACGCCCUGUAUUCUUCCUAGCACGGGUGGCGCUGUGGGUUAAACCACAGAGCCUAGGACUUGCCAAUCAGAAGGUCGGCAGUUCGAAUCACCCGACGGGGUGAGCUCCUGUUGCUCGGUCCCUGCUCCUGCCAACCUAGCAGUUCGAAAGCAUGUCAAAGUGCAAGUAGAUAAAUAGGUACCGCUCCGGCGGGAAGGUAAGCGGCGUUUCCGUGCGCUGCUCUGGUUCGCCAGAAGCAGCUUAGUCAUGCUGGCCACAUGACCCGGAAGCUGUACGCCGGCUCCCUCGGCCAAUAAAGAGAGAUGAGUGCCACAACCCCAGAGUCAGCCACGACUGGACCUAAUGGUCAGGGGUCCCUUUACCUUUACCUUUAUUCUUCCUGGCACUCAGACCGUGUCCCUUAAUUCCUUGAUUCCCUGGGCUGCAUCCUACAGGCAAUUGUGCAAGGUACAGGGCUUUUGCAAGCAUGAGAGAGGAAGCUUACACUAGGUAUCCUCAUCAGUAUGAGUUAAACUUGAAAAGGAAGAUUCAGGUAGGUAGCCGUGUUGGUCUGAUCUGACGCAGUCAAAAUAUAUCAAAAAAAUUGUCCAGUAGCACCUUAGAGACCAACUAAGUUUGUUCUUGGUAUAAGCUUUCGUGUGCAUGCACACUUCUUCUGAAGAACUUAGUUGAUCUCUAAGGUGCUACUGGACAAUUUUUUUAUUUUUUGAAAAGGAAGAGUUCACCAUUGGUUUUGAAAAACAGCUAAACUAAGUUCUUGUUCCCAGGGGAUGGUUGUGCUUCAAUUUGCUCCAGCCGGAGAGGUGGCCAGUCUCCAUGGGAUGGAUGACUUCUCCUGCCUCCUCUAACAGCCCUCUGUGUUUGUUAUUUUCCUUUGGCUUCUUUGGGAACCUACUACAGAGGACACAAAGCUGUGUGUCCAUUGCUUUAUUCACCUCAAUGGAGGCAAGAGAUCAGUACACUAAUCUGAUCAUGAAUAUCAGAGGAUGAACCUCACGGACGUCGCUGGCAGACUUUCAUCAAUUUUAGUGGCUGCAAAUUGCAUCCAGAGGGAAUAUUUACGGUAUGUUAUUUAAUUAUACUUAUAUCCUUAUAAUUAUACUUAUAUGUGGAAGAGCAGGGAGCCAGUGUGGUGUAGUGGUUAAGAGUGGUAGUCUCGUAAUCUGGUGAACUGGGUUCACUUCCCCGCUCCUCCACAUGCAGCUGCUGGGUGACCUUGGGCCAGUCACACUUCUUUGAAGUCUCUCAGCCCCACUUACCUCACAGAGUGUUUGUUGUGGGGGAGGAAGGGAAAGGAGAAUGUUGGCCGCUUUGAGACUCCUUCAGGUAGUGAUAAAGCGGGAUAUCAAAUCCAAACUCUUCUCUUCUUCUUCUUCCUGCCUUUUAGAUAAUUUUGAUAUAUCCAAGGAAGUCUAGGAAUUGAAGUCUGUUGAGGGAGCCACGUUCCCUAGUCUCCCACCCAUGCUACAGUUCCAGGAUGUCUUGUGGAGAGAGAAUAGCUGCUAAACCAUGCUUAGUCCAAUGCUGUCACAAACAUGGUGCCCAUGUUUGCGCAUGAGCCCAUAGAAACAUUCCCUGUCACUUAUUGGGUCCAUACCAGAAAGAAGCAACCUAAUAUAAUAGGUUGUGGUGUGUGCUUGGUUACAGACAGUGUAGGCUGGCUCCUUUGAUUGCCCCACCAACCUUAGUUUACUCUCCUACUAACCCCCCACCUGCUGCUUUCUUACUUAUAAGCAGUCAGGGGGUGGUUCUGCCUGUCAUUGUUUCUGGCUUAAUCUACUGUUGGCCUGCCUGGCUUCUGACCUACCAGCAGCAGCCACCAUGUGUGUAGCACCCAAAACAAUUUCUCCACUUUGCACACAUGCCCAGUGGCCCAAAAAGGUUGGCAACCCUGCACUGGAUCCACAGGAAAGGAAACGUGGGCGACAAACAGAUGCAGCUUGGACUCUUAACAGGCAUAGCUAAAAUGUGGCUCCACGAGAGCAACGGGUGGUAUGCCAAUGAAUUUUCACUCAGAGUAGAUAAAAUUGAAAUGAAUGGAGCUAAGUUAGUCAUGUUCAUUCAUUUCAGUGGAUCUUUUCUGAGCAGGACUACCCUGUGUUGGCCUUUCUUCUAACGCAUACCAUGCCAAACUUCAUCCUAGCCGGCAUUUUUAAAAACCCAACAUUUCAGAGGUAAUGAAUGACCCAGUAGAUCCAUUUUCAAGGACGUUUCCCGACUAUCAAUUUUUCCGCACCUUGGUAUCGCAUCAGAAAUGCCAAAGAAAUAGAAUUGCUGAUGAUCAAGCCAGACAGCAGCAAUCAAUCUCCAUACACUGGUUUGCAUAGCAUUUUCAGAUAUUUUCAAACCGAGCCGUCUGGUUUAAAUUCUUGGCAAAGUCACAAUAAGAAGAGUACUUAGUGUUUGUAUAGCACAUUUCAAAUGCUGCAAGUGCUUUACUCACAUUAUCUAAGUAAUCCUGACAGCAGUCCUGUAAGGUAGGCUACUGUUGUUGCUAUCUCUCUUAGGUAACUGGGGGGCAGGGAAGGGCAGGAGGAGUCUACAGCGUUGUCUGUGCAUGCACUGUUGGGAUGCAGCCAAGGAAUUGGGGGCAAAUGGCAGACCCCCAGCUGGCUCCAGCCCACUGGCCGGUGCGCCGGGCGAUCUCCAGUCCUUGGUGCAGCAUCAGUGACUCGAGCAUCAGAAGCUAGAGCACGCUACUCAGCAGAGUAAACACUACGCAACAGAAGUGGCAGGGAGAGGCUGUGAUGAGCAUAUUUACAAGCAGUUUAUUCAGCAUACAUCGGGACAAGAGGUAAACAUGUCUUCUCUUCUUCGGGUCCAAGCAAGCAGCUAAAAGCGAAAGCUAUACACAAACGGGUGGGACGCGGGUGGCGCUGUGGGUUAAACCACAGACUUGCCGAUCAGAAGGUCGGCGGUUCGAAUCCCCGCGGCAGGGUGAGCUCCCGUUGCUCGGUCCCUGUUCCUGCCAACCUAGCCAUUCAAAAGCACAUCAAAGUGCAAGUAGAUAAAUAGGUACCGCUGCGACGGGAACGUAAACGACAUUUCCAUGCGCUGCUCUGGUUCACCAGAAGCGGCUUAGUUAUGCUGGUCACAUGACCCAGAAGCUGUACGCCAGCUCCCUCGGCCAAUAAAGCGAGAUGAGCACCGCAACCCCACAGUUGGUCACGACUGGACCUAAUGGUCAGGGGUCCCUUUACCUUUUUAUACACAAACGGAAGUUCCCAGCAAGCUGUGCUGGGGUGUAAACAGGCAUGUGACACACAACAGUCAUGCCUGUACUUAAGGUGGAACAGAAUAUCCUAACAUGCACAACCCCCUCCCCAAACCCAUGGGGAUUGAGGCUAGGCAUGAAUGCUCCCCUUAUGCUGAUCAUGAACUCUGGAAGUGGAGAUCAGCACAUAGGCAUGAGCUCACAGCCACAGGGGCUUGGUAUUUGGGCUGAAGGGAAGCAAGCAACCUGCCACUGAAGGGCAGUGGCGGAACAUAUGCCCGCACUUCUCAGGGCAGGCAUGCUCCCAAGGGGUGCGUGGCAUGGAGGGUGCCUGUGCUGGUCCUGUGGGCUACCCGAGAGACGAGGUCCAAGUCCGGUUUGUGGUCAAAGGUGCAACAUGGAGGCCGUCUGUAGUAGCUGAAGCUGGGUGCAGGGCAGGGAGUCGGGUGAAGUCAGGAACAGGCUUGCAAGCAGAGAGCCAGGGCGGGUCAGGAGCUCCGGCAGAAAAGCAGAACAGGGUUCAGGCAGGAACUAGCAACCAACAAUGUUGCUCCUGCAACUUGGGACUGGGGCUGGCUGGCUUUUAUCUGCCCCGAGGCAUGGGGCAGCCCCGAUCCUCUGGUGACUCGCCUCUCCUGGCCUGGAGGCGAGCACUCCUCCUGUGGGAACUUAGUUCCCCCCGCCUCUCUGCCCUGAGCCUCUGCAGCUCAGGAGAGGGUUACCAGACCCAGAGGCAACCUCAGCUUCCUCUGACGGGGCUGAGAGUGGAGCACCUGCAGGCAAUGGGUCCUCCAUCACCUCAGGAGCCAGAGCAGACUCAGCUGGUGCCUGCACCUGAGGAUCCAGCACAGGUGAGGACCCUUCAGGCUCAUGCCCCAGCCCCGGCUCAGCUGGUUCUGGAGGCAGGGAAUCCUGUGCAGGCUGGGAUCCCUCAGGUUCAGCAUCCGAGUCCAAAUCCCAGGCCAUCACACUGCCCUCCAGGCAUGGGAUAGGCGCUUGGGUGCCUGGAGCGGCGCAUGCACCCUGCAGCCGGGAGUGGAGCGAGCCGCCCAUGAUGAACGUUCAGUGCACACACAAACACCCCCCGCGACUCCCAAGCCUCCCCCAGGCUGCCAAAACGAAGGGGGAAGGGAGGGAAUGCUGUUGGCAAAGCGGUGCAACUCCUGCCCCAUACCCCAACGGCUCGGGGUAGGCUUGGGAGUCACUGGUGGGCAGCAUGCCGAAUGUCACCCCACUCAGUGAGGGCACCCAGGGCGGUCUGCCCCCCCCUUCCUAUGUCCCUGCUGAAGGGCUGUCUAUGGAUCUCCAAGCCUUUCUGAUUCACUUUUUCCUCUGUAGGAUUCCUUAUGGUGCAAGGCAGACUGCAGGAUGCAGUGGAGGGGAAAGGGCUCUGGUGUGCAAUUGGAGCUCCUUCUUCCGCAAGAUUCCCUGCAAAAAGAUCAAAGGAGAGGGAGAGAUGUCUCAGCAGCAAGUUCCUUGCAAAAAUAUAAAAAGUGCCCGUGCAUUGUGCAACGGCGCGCAUAUUGUUUUGGGGGAUGCAAUGGCAUUUUGCAUCUUGAGACUUUGAGGAAGUGUGAGGCAGAGCUUGCAGGACAGCUGUGCGUUGACACUGCUUGUGUUCCCAGGGAUUGCAGUUUUUGUUCUGUUUGUUGGCCUUUUGCAUAGCCAAGGCAGAAAAGGGGUGUUGGAUAACUUGUCAAAGAAACUCUGAAUAAAAUAUCUCAUUUAUGGCCACUGAGACACAUCGCAGGUGAACAUCACAUCAUGAGUUAUUCAUCGUCUUUUGCCAGGCCUGAAUACAUCUACUCAGUUGUGGGCACUGACCCUUUGAGGACCACUGUUUCAUAUCUGAACCAGUACCAUAUGUCUGGUUUAUUUAGAACUGGCCACCUUCCUUAACAACGCUAUUCUUUUUACUGAUAAUCCAGAAUACAUGCACAAAUCCCUUAAUUAAAUCAAGUGAGCGACAGAGAAGAUAAUGCAAUAAUGAGUGAACACAAUCAUAGCCUUGAGCCACUCUGUAAGUAAAAAUUACUAAAAGCAAUUAAAACUGUGUCACCUGCAUUUUACUUUGUUUUAUUUGGGAAUGACAUUCUGGAGGCUAUCAUUUCAAAAUCCAUAGGCAUGCAUUGUGAUAUCUGUUUUCAUUUUUGUUUUUCCUGUGACUUUACUAAGGCAAAUAUGAAAUACAUUUCAAAAUAGAGCUAUCAACUCAUUUUCUACUAAUUAUAACUGCCAAGUGGUUCAGUAAAUGCAACUCACUAUUUUUCUUCACACACACACACACACACAUUUGGGUUGAAGCUUUCUGAUGUUCGCCAGGUGAAUUCCAUGCAUAAUGUAAGACAGGCAAUGCUGUUUGCAUAAUAAGCUAUUUUCUAC
Molecule: long non-coding RNA, 42777 nt
Filed under: Podarcis lilfordi (Lilford's wall lizard)
Lineage: Eukaryota; Metazoa; Chordata; Lepidosauria; Squamata; Lacertidae
Source: RNAcentral